ACGAAUUUCUGACCGAGGUUGUAGCUGGCCCCUUGCGGGGCAUGUGCACGCCUCUCUCACCAAUCCACAAACACCUGUGCACCUUUGCGUGAGUCCGGGGAAGGGAGGAGCGAUCCUCUCGAGUACCGUGCUUGCGUCUUUUUACAAACUCUUCUGUAUGUCUUUAAGAAUGUGUACCUUGAUGUAAUAUAAACGCAUCUAAUA
This 204-nucleotide unclassified non-coding RNA is filed under the name uncultured fungus. Its description in RNAcentral is "sequence contains ITS1, 5.8S rRNA gene". Lineage: Eukaryota; Fungi. The record is from RNAcentral.